Molecule: long non-coding RNA, 426 nt
Organism: Tribolium castaneum (red flour beetle)
Lineage: Eukaryota; Metazoa; Arthropoda; Insecta; Coleoptera; Tenebrionidae
Exons: 2
Source: RefSeq, a predicted model, not a curated record
AAUUGCGAUGAGUGAUAAUGAUAACAAAUUGAAUUAAAAAUCGGGUAAUGACAGUAUGAUUGCACGUAGUCUUCCGGAACAAAAACUUCGUAUCCUGUUUGAGGAUUUAAAAGAAAGGGACGAACGGGGAAAUGCGUAUUUUUAGAAUGGUGGACAAAGCGAAAAUUGUGUGUUUUGUUGCGUUUUUGCUGGUGAUGGUCCAUUUGGGUGAGGGGCAGUUUUGGUUUCCUCCGCCAGAAGCUCGGAACCCGUCACGGGUAGCAGGAGCCAAAUCUCCGGAUGAAAUUAUGGAAAAAGUAAGCUCCAAGUUGGAAAAAGCUCAGUCGAAGGUGACGCAAGCCGCUGAAAAGGUGUCCGAAAAAAUCUCACCUUAUUUGAAUUAAUUUUGAUUGUGUAAUAAAUAAUAAAGGUCUAUGCACUGAUUAA